RNAcentral lists this ribosomal RNA (253 nucleotides) under uncultured bacterium. RNAcentral's name for it is "partial 16S ribosomal RNA". It matches the Rfam family "Bacterial small subunit ribosomal RNA", at positions 524 to 776 of the family's 1533-position model. The record is from RNAcentral.
UACGUAGGGUGCGAGCGUUGUCCGGAAUUACUGGGCGUAAAGGGCUCGUAGGCGGCCAACUAAGUCAGACGUGAAAUCCCUCGGCUUAACCGGGGAACUGCAUCUGAUACUGGAUGGCUUGAGUUCGGGAGAGGGAUGCGGAAUUCCAGGUGUAGCGGUGAAAUGCGUAGAGAUCGGGAGGAACACCAGCGGCGAAGGCGGCCCCCUGGGCCGCUCCUGACGCUGAGACGCGAAGGCCAGGGUAGCGAGCGGG